Molecule: RNA transcript, 2492 nt
Organism: Dipodomys ordii (Ord's kangaroo rat)
Lineage: Eukaryota; Metazoa; Chordata; Mammalia; Rodentia; Heteromyidae
Gene: Akt3
Gene name: v-akt murine thymoma viral oncogene homolog 3
Exons: 14
Source: RefSeq, a predicted model, not a curated record
GCUGACUCAUCACUAGAGAGCGGGAAGGGCAGCAGCAGAGAAUUCAAACCCUAAAGCUGAUUUCUCCUCGCUGGGGCUCAGAGGGGAGCCAUCAUGAGCGAUGUUACCAUUGUGAAAGAAGGUUGGGUUCAGAAGAGGGGAGAAUAUAUAAAAAACUGGAGGCCACGCUAUUUCCUUUUGAAGACAGACGGCUCAUUCAUAGGAUAUAAAGAAAAACCUCAGGAUGUGGACUUACCUUACCCCCUCAACAACUUCUCAGUGGCAAAAUGCCAGUUAAUGAAAACAGAAAGACCAAAGCCAAAUACAUUUAUAAUCAGAUGUCUACAGUGGACCACAGUUAUAGAGAGAACAUUCCAUGUUGAUACUCCAGAAGAAAGGGAAGAAUGGACAGAAGCUAUCCAGGCUGUGGCAGACAGACUACAGAGGCAAGAAGAGGAGAGAAUGAAUUGUAGUCCAACUUCCCAGAUUGACAAUAUAGGAGAGGAAGAGAUGGAUGCUUCUACAACCCACCACAAAAGAAAGACAAUGAAUGAUUUUGACUAUUUGAAACUACUAGGUAAAGGCACUUUUGGGAAAGUAAUUUUGGUUCGUGAGAAGGCAAGUGGCAAAUAUUAUGCUAUGAAGAUUCUGAAGAAAGAGGUCAUCAUUGCAAAGGAUGAAGUGGCACACACUCUAACUGAAAGCAGAGUAUUAAAGAACACCAGGCAUCCAUUUUUAACCUCCUUGAAAUAUUCCUUCCAGACAAAAGACCGUUUGUGUUUUGUGAUGGAAUAUGUUAAUGGGGGAGAGCUGUUUUUCCAUUUGUCGAGAGAGCGAGUGUUCUCUGAGGACCGCACACGUUUCUAUGGUGCAGAAAUUGUCUCUGCCUUGGACUAUCUACAUUCUGGAAAGAUUGUGUACCGCGAUCUCAAGUUGGAGAAUUUGAUGCUGGAUAAAGAUGGUCAUAUAAAAAUUACAGACUUUGGACUUUGCAAAGAAGGGAUCACAGAUGCAGCCACCAUGAAGACAUUCUGUGGCACCCCAGAGUACCUGGCACCAGAGGUGUUGGAAGAUAAUGACUAUGGCCGAGCUGUGGACUGGUGGGGCCUUGGUGUUGUCAUGUAUGAAAUGAUGUGUGGAAGGUUACCCUUCUACAACCAGGAUCAUGAGAAACUUUUUGAACUAAUACUUAUGGAAGACAUAAAAUUUCCUCGAACACUCUCUUCAGAUGCAAAAUCAUUGCUUUCAGGGCUCUUGAUAAAGGAUCCAAAUAAACGCCUCGGCGGAGGGCCAGAUGAUGCGAAAGAAAUCAUGAGACACAGUUUUUUUUCCGGAGUAAACUGGCAGGAUGUGUAUGACAAAAAGCUUGUGCCUCCUUUUAAGCCUCAAGUAACCUCUGAGACGGACACCAGGUGUUUCGACGAGGAGUUUACAGCACAGACCAUCACCAUAACGCCGCCUGAGAGAUAUGACGAGGACGGCAUGGACGGCGUGGACAACGAGCGGCGGCCACACUUCCCGCAGUUCUCCUACUCGGCCAGCGGCCGGGAAUAGGCCUCCUCCAUCCUGCUGCUUCCCCGUCACCCUCGGUUUCUUACUGGACACGAUCCUGGACCUGUCGCCAGUCUCGCCGUUCCGGACAGCGGGGCGGCGCCACCCGCCGCCCAGGUCUCCACCGCGCCACCGUCGCCCCGUGAACACGCGCACACGCACACGCACACUCUCCAGGUUUUGUUUUUGCAUGAAAUUGUAUUUCAGUCCAAGGUCUCAUGCUGUUGCUGCUACUGUCUCACUAUGAUAGCAACUUCGAGAAGUAAGUUCCGUCUUCGGGAGUCAUGAGCCGCCCUCGUUCAUUCGUGCACCGGUUCUCGUUCGGUCUCGGAGUUUUCGCGUCUCCCUGCGGUGACGGCUCCACGAGACGCACUGAUUCUAGAGUGGAAGUUAGAGCGCCUGCGCCGCGAGCGCCCCGAGCGCGCCCCGAGCGCGCCCUGGGCGCGGGUGGCUGCUGGACGUGUGUCACGGCAGGUAACCCAGCAGGAAUGGAAACCCAAUGGCAGGAGGAAAAGUUUGGUCCUUGACACACCUGGUUGAAACAUGUGCCUUUUUGGUGUUCUGUUCACUACUACAAGGUAAAAAGGAAACGUUACAAUUCAAGGCUUUAACAAAGAUCAUUUAAUCAGAUUCCUGCGUGUAACUUAGCGUACAGAAGCGGGCUUAAGAACGGUCACGCGAGCCAUUUGCGAGGCCCCCGCGAGCUCUUCUCCCCGGCUGGGACUCCAGGUCGGGCUGACCCACAGUCCGGGGAGCCGGGGCAUGGGGAGGCCGCGCUGCAGUCCGGUGUCAGCCUGCCAUGGCCGCAGCGCGGUGGAGUGUGUGAAGUACCAAUCGGAUGAAUGUAAAUAUCUCUCUGUAAAUCAUUUAUUUCACUGUUUCAUCCAGGUCGGCAAUCAGAUUGUGGCAUGCUGGGUAACUGGAAAAAUGAUAAUAAAAAGUAAGUUUAAGUAGAUCACGGG